UUGGGUAAUGAGUACUAGGGUUUGAGAAAAGGGAAUGAUAUAGAAAAGAUUAGCAUGGCCCUUGUGCAAGGAUGACAAUCACAAAUCGAAAAAGGAGAACUAGAGAC
RNAcentral lists this small nuclear RNA (107 nucleotides) under Macleaya cordata. The record is from RNAcentral. Lineage: Eukaryota; Viridiplantae; Streptophyta; Magnoliopsida; Ranunculales; Papaveraceae.